UGGGGAAUCUUGCGCAAUGGGCGAAAGCCUGACGCAGCGACGCCGCGUGGGUGAUGAAGGCCUUCGGGUUGUAAAGCCCUGUGGGGAGGGACGAAUAAGGACGACCCAAUACGUCGUCAGAUGACGGUACCUCCUUAGCAAGCACCGGCUAACUCUGUGCCAGCAGCCGCGGUAAGACAGAGGGUGCAAACGUUGUUCGGAAUUACUGGGCGUAAAGCGCGUGUAGGCGGUCUGGUAAGUCGGGUGUGAA
RNAcentral lists this ribosomal RNA (250 nucleotides) under uncultured bacterium. Its description in RNAcentral is "partial 16S ribosomal RNA". It matches the Rfam family "Bacterial small subunit ribosomal RNA", at positions 355 to 598 of the family's 1533-position model. The record is from RNAcentral.